GACGUAGGGUGCAAGCGUUGUCCGGAUUUAUUGGGCGUAAAGAGCUCGUAGGCGGCUCGUCGCGUCGACCGUGAAAACCCGCAGCUUAACUGCGGGCCUGCGGUUGAUACGGGCGGGCUAGAGUUCGGUAGGGGAGACUGGAAUUCCUGGUGUAGCGGUGAAAUGCGUAGAUAUCUGGAGGAACAUCGGUGGCGAAGGCGGCAUCCUGGACCGGUAUUGACGCUGAGGCGCGAAAGCCAGGGGAGCAAACGGG
RNAcentral lists this ribosomal RNA (253 nucleotides) under uncultured bacterium. RNAcentral describes it as "partial 16S ribosomal RNA". It matches the Rfam family "Bacterial small subunit ribosomal RNA", at positions 524 to 776 of the family's 1533-position model. The record is from RNAcentral.